Stylonychia lemnae is the source of this 72-nucleotide transfer RNA. It matches the Rfam family "tRNA". From Rfam's summary of the family: Transfer RNA (tRNA) molecules are approximately 80 nucleotides in length. Their secondary structure includes four short double-helical elements and three loops (D, anti-codon, and T loops). The record is from Rfam. NCBI's taxonomy places the organism in Eukaryota, Ciliophora, Spirotrichea, Sporadotrichida, Oxytrichidae.
GCAUCAAUAGUCUAGUGGUUAGGAUAGGUGCCUUCCAAGCACUUGACCCGGGUUCGAAUCCCGGUUGAUGCA